GGUGGGGGCGCGCGGGAGGAAGCGGCCUCCGGGGGUCGGGCUGGUGCCUGGCGCCCUGGGACCCGCAGGGCCGCGGCCCCGACGAGGCUGUGCGCCCGGGCCGGAGUGCGGGCGGGCCCCGGCGGCGCGGGGCGAGGAGCGUGUCACCUCUGUGUCCUUGGCCGGCGGUGGCCCUCGGCCUCCGAGUUCCGCAGGAGGGCUGGCCGCUGCCUCCUGGUGGGCGGGGCCGGGGGCCGGGGCGGCGGGGGCCUCGCGUGCGGGCCGCGGCCGCCGGGAGAAUGAAUGGGCGUCCGCCGCGGGCGGAGAUGCCGCCUCCCUGGCGCCCAGCUCCGAAGUCGCGCCCGCGUCCGGCGGUGCCCGAAAGCCCGGCGGCCGUGCGAGGAGACGCGCAGGCAGCUCUGACGUUAACCCCGGGUCGCGUGGAGUGGAGAAAGUGAAGCGGGCUCGCGGCCGCUGUCCGCGCGGCGCCGGCUCGGGGGCGGCGUGUCGGGCGGGCGGCGGCGCCGCGGGUCCCGCGAGGGCGUCAGCUUUCCUCGGCGCGGCUGCUCGCCUUGUUGUUUCAAACUUCCCGAGUGUUUCAGAGUGACGCCUUGACCGCUUCUAAAUUCGUGAGAAAGUCGCGUUUAAAGCGUGUUGCUUGGGGACGGACAGUCAGAGUUGGUGUCGGGAGGAGACGUAACCCUUUUUGGAUGGUUACUUUGCAGCGACAGCUAGAAGGCAUUUUUCCUGCCUUGAAGCGGGCUGAGUCCCCCUCCUGCCCGCUGCACUGAAGCUGCUGAAUUUGAGAGGCUCGGGGAUUUUGCAAGUUUGAGGGAAACAAAAACACCUUUUUUUGUAAAAAAGAGAAACUUUGUACAUCACUAAGCUUAGACUUUAUAGUCUGAAGAGAUCAAUGUUAUACAGGUUGGUCUCAAAAAAGGGCGUUUUGUUCCUGUAAGCGUUAGCUGGAGUUCCUUGGUUUAGAGCACAGCGCCCUAGAUCCUCGAUCCCGUUCCUGCAAUAGCUGACACAGCGAUAGCCGUCGACUCUGGGAGUGGUCCAGUGUGAGGGGCUCCAAACCAGCGUUUCACCUGCAGGGCCUGAUUCAUUGAAUCGUGAAAUCAUUUUCACUGGGUGGUGAUCAUAAUCUUUAAAAAAUAGAGUAGAAGAUAUUAGUGUUAUAUGAAACUAUCGGUUCAGUCAUAUGCGUAUAUAUUCCUGCAAAAUAGCUUUCUCAGGGUGAGUGUCAAAAAAGUUUGAAAAAUAGUCUUUCUAAAGGUUAUUUUUCUCGUUUGUAGUGCUGGUCUUCUCCAAGAAGUGUUAAAAACAGCCCUGCUUAUUUAUAUUUGGUGGAACAUGUUCCCCUCACUUUAGUUUUUGGGAGUUGGGGAAAUAAAUUUGCUAUCAAUGACCAGCAUGCAUCUUAAUCGCUUAAUCUUUUUUUUUUUUUUUUGAGGAAUAUUAGCCCUGAGCUAACAUCUGCUGCCAAUCCUCCUCUCUUUGCUGAGGAAGACUGGCCCUGAGCUAACAUCCGUGCCCAUCUUCCUCUCCUUUAUAUAUAGGAUGCCUGCCACAGCAUGGCUUGACAAGCGGUGCCAUGUCUGCACCCGGGAUCCGAACCGGUGAACCCCGGACCGCGAGAAGCCAAGCGUGCACACUUCACCGCCUCACCACCGGGCCCACGCCUCACUUAAUAUUUUUAAUAGUCUGAGAAGCUUUUAUUUAGACAGUGAAGGAUCUUCUCCAUCCCAGAGUAUUAAUUGCCAAUGCUUUUUCCACGUCUAGAUGAGAGUAGAAGAAUCUGGAUCCCCAGUAGUGAGUUGUCAGCAUUGCCUUCUGUGACGUCAGGAUUAGAGUAAAGGAGGCCUGGUCACUGUGUGUGCUUUGCCUGUGCAGGUGUUCUAAGCAUUGCACAAUCACUUGAGUGGACUUCAUGAAAUACCAGAUAAAAUUGAGUCGUUCUUUUUUGAUACUAAGUCUUUGGAAUCUAGAGUGUAUUUUAUGGUUCGAGCACACCUCACUUUGGGCUAGUUGCAUUUCCAGUGCUCAAUAGUGACGUGGUUAAUGGCUACCAAGUGGAUAGUGCAAUUGGAGUGAAUUGUCUAGCUGCUUUUCAAAAAUUAGAUUUCUCCAGCUGAGUAUUUGCAGUUUCACAUUAACAGCCACAAGUGUUCCCUGUCUGUCCAUAGCCUUCUCUCAAAUGUGAGGAAAUUGCAUCAGGUGAUUCCUCAGGCUGUUUCUGGAUCUAAGAUUUAGGUAUUCUGAGGCAACUGACAACUACACUUUUGUUAAGUAUUACUUUUUGCUUCUCUAGGACUAUUUUAAGAGAGUUUAGAUCAUCUGUUUUAAAAUGACAGUAACAAUACGAUUUGGAGGCAUUUUGUUGUUUGUUAAGUAGUUAUCCUUUGCUCUGUCAUGAAGUUACACUAUGUGUUCACUUGAGAAUCCCUUCUCUCCCCUAUUUUUAAUUUGGUUAAUUACAUGAUUGCCUACUGCAUAAGAGAGAACAUUUGUCUUAGUGAAUUCACUCUUAAUACAGUGUAGACUGAAUUUUCUGCUAGGGAUAUAGUUAAUUGUAGGAAACUGGAAUUUAGAUUAAAUAAAUAGAACCUACUUUUUCUUGGCUUUGGGGGAUGUGUAGAUUAUACAGUAGGUUUUCAACCUGAGAAAAUAUCAGUAUAAUGAAGAAUAGGGAGGCCGAGAAUUUUAAAGGAUUGAGAAGUAAUGGUGUAUAUCUAAUGACCAUUAAGCAGAACAGGUCACUGAAGUGGAAUACUCUGCCUUACCAUAAAUAUUUGUGUGCAUUAUGGGGUUUGUAGCAGAAUUUACUUUUCUUAGGUAUAUGGAGGGAGCACACAAUGCACCUGUAGCACAGAAGUUGGCCCCAGGUUAGCAGUUUACAUUGGAAGGUUUAGGAAGGAAUACUGGGCAUUGACUUGGCACUAGCUACCUUUUUAAAAAAAUCUCAGUUUAGAUAAUUUGAUCCAGUCGAGAGCGUGCUGCACACCUGCUGGGUGUCUUAAGAAUGAAUCAAUCACAGGAGUUGGUCGUUUGGAAAACAUCAUCUAGUACUUACCUGUGUUUUAGGGCAAUGUUGGUGGAAUAAGAAAUCAAGAUCUUACAUUUGAUUUAGGUUAACUUUCAUUAGUGAAAGUCUAAAAACUGGACCUUGUCAAUUUCACAUGUCAACUUACAUUGAUGGGGUGAUCCACUGCUAAAAAUAUUCCAUACGCUCUGUGAAAAGAAGCAAAAUACUGUUAGAGAGUUUGCUUAGUAGUGAUGUUUUAAUAUUCAGUCAGCAUCAUCAGAUAAAUAAUUUCAUUGAUGUUCAACUGAGUAUUUGAGAUUGAAGGACAUCUAUUAAGUGGCCAAUGUUCUAAUUUUGAUUUGUAUUUGUCAGCGAGUGAAACUGAAUGAUGAGACUGAAGAAAAUAUUUUAUUUGUAAGGAAGUUUGGCAAAAGUGAAAUUUAUACAACCAUAAGAUGGCAUAUGAAUAAAGGUGUUUAAAAAUAAAACUUGGCUGAGCUACUUUGUUUAUAGGAGUAUGUCAAUUAAUGUAAAAGGUAGGAAAUUUGACUUCUGGCAAAACAACGUUUUCGCUCAGAAGUGAAAAUCAGCCUCUUAAUAGGUAUUAAGUAUGUAAAAGAUAGAGUAUGCCUCCUUCUGGACUAAGUUAGUUUAGCAUAUUUUAAGAAUUUAGAAGCUAGUUUAAAAUACUAUCUUAGUAAAAUUGAUAAAUGCAAAGGUGAAAUUUAUAUAUUCUACUUCGUUAAUAUGUAGCCUUCACAGUGUAUAUUCAAAUGUGUUUUUAGGACUAUGACACUUAACCACCUUUUGGUCAUAGACUUCUUUGCAAGAGUGAUAAAAACUAUGGACUAGUGUAGAAAAAUUCUAUACACAAUUUCUGGGGCUUACUGAAGGCCAUUGUGGAUGCAGGUUAAGAACCCUGACUUUAAGGUGUUGACUAUACAAAUAUGUUAAACAUGAUAUGAUACACACUGUCAUUUUCUAAAAUAUAAGUGGAUUUUAGAAUGUGAGUGUUAGUUAUGGACCCUUGAUAUAAACACAAAUUUAGACAAACAACCUCAUUCAUAAUUAAUAAGUAGAUUUGCCUCUUUAUAGCACAUUUUAAAUUGGCAUAACAUUAUUUUAAAUUGAAGAUAAAUGUUUUUGACUGUCACAAGUUUAUCUGGGAAAGUAAGACUACUGUUUUAGUUUCUCAGAUUGAUUUGUUAAGAUGAAUAGUUCUGUUUGUUAAGUAUUUCUGGAUCAUUAAGAUAUUUUGUAUGUGUUUCUAGUCCUCCGAUCAGCCCCAGGAGGUAUGGAUGUUACCUUUCCCCGAUUGGAGAUGAGAGAACCAAACCUUGGAGUUUAUGUAACUUGCCCAAGAUCACAGCCACUAAGUAGCUGCUUGACCCCAAAGCCAUUGCCUAUACUGGUGUGUUGACCUGAAAUCAGUUUCUUAGAGUAUAUUUUGUUCAAGUUGAAUUAUGACUUUUAAUCACCAUAGUUUUUAAUGGUGAGGAGAGUAGUUCUAGCUUCAGAUUGAGUUAGUAUGUGAAUAAAGAUAGAAAGUAGAUGUAAAAGUAUGUUAUUUUUUUAAGAAGAAUUAUCUGAAAGAACAAAUUCAGGUAGUUUUAACUAACAGCAUCUUGUUUAAGAUGCUGUUAAAAAUGUAAUAUUGCCCGUUGCAGCUCAAGAUACUGAGCAUCCACAUCUACUAUGUACUUGACUCUUUUUUAUUGUAUCGAAUCCCUCUUAAUAGCUCUAAGAUUUGUCUGAUUUUUGUAAACUAAAAUAACAAAGGCUCAGAGAUUACAUGGUAUGUCUAAAGAUGUGGUAAAUUCAGAGCCAGGAUUCAAACCAGGUGUCUGAUUCUGAAGUACGGUUUAACUGUAGAGGGAAAAAUCUCAAGAACUGAAAAUACGCUGACUAGUUAAUCCUACUCCUCUCUUUUUCCCAGUAGUCAAGCAUCUUAUAGUUGUGAUCAGAGAACAGGUGAGGGUUUUUACAGUCUUAUUUCUUAAUGAACAUUUCCAUGGGUCCUCAUAAUCUGUAAGUUCUAGUAUAUGGAUUGUGUUCUCUGUUUCUGAAAGCUUGCUUAAUUAAACAUUGCUUCUCAGCUGUUAGAUUUUAGUAUCUAAAAAUUUGUUGUAAUCAGUACUUCCUUAAAAACUGCAGGCUGAGAACCAUCAGUGGAUGGUAAAAUCAAUUUGUUAUGUAUAAGAAAAUAGAAAAUACAAGAGAGAGUAAGGGAUAGUGUUGAUUUGUGAACAAUAUAAGGAUUAUAUUAAUAUUACUUGUUUAUAGACAUGUAUAAGUACUGUUUAGAAAUAUAAAAUACUUUUCUUGGUGUGGAUCAUGGAAAGGUAGAAACUGCUGCUCUAAGAAUAGCGAUGCUACAUAGUAGAUAUCUGGUCUUGCUCCUCACCCAUAAACAUCCAACUUUUAGAUUACAUUUGUGUAUGUAUCCCCCAAAACUGAGCGUUUUAGUAGUCUUAGGUAUGUAAGUUGCCAGAUUGCUUUUCUACCAAUAUGGUACCUUUUUACAUGGCUGGAUCAAGAAAACUAGUACAAAGUAAGCAUGCCACACUCACCAAGAUUGAAUAAUGAAUACAUUUGGACUCGACGUUUAUUUCAUUUUCUAUUACUCUGAUAAAGAUUCAGACACGUUUUAAUUGAGAAAAUUGGUCCGGAGUUGAGGGUUGGGGUAGAAGUGCCGGCGUUCCACUGUACCAGCGGUUUCACUGUUGGCUGUUAUUCUUCUAAAAAUAAGAACUGUCCUGGUUCUAGGGUAAGAUUUUAGUUUGUAAAGGCUUGACUUUUUAGGGACAGUUGUCUGCAUCUUCAUACCUUGAAUCGUCCAGCCUUGCAGAAUUGAAAGGGCCUCAGGUAUAGUAAGUUUGGAGAUUCAGUGCUAUCUCCUGUAAUUUGGGGCAAGUUAGUAAAAUUUUUAGCACCAGUUUCACCUUGUAACAUAGAGAUGAUGAGACUAUCAAAUAACGUGGCACCCAUGAAGGGCUUGACAUGGGGCCUUAUGUAUGUUGGAUGUGUGGUAAACCUUAUUCUUACAGAUCAUUUAGUCCAAUGUGAUGAUGUUACAGCUGGGAAAGCUGAGGGGCUAGAAGAUCUCAGUUGCUUACACCAGGUUUCAGUGGCAGUGAGUGAGCAGGGCCAGGAUUUGAACCUUGGUUUUUUUUUUCACUCUAAAUGAGUAAUGCUGCUAUGAACAUUCACGUACAAGUUUUUCUGUUUAAUUCUCUUGGGAAUAUACCUAUGAGUAGAAUUACUGAGUCAUGUGAUAACUAUUUAACUUAUCAAUGAACUGCUAAAUUUUUCCAAAGCACCUGCAUCAUUUUACAUGCCCACCAACAGUAUAUGAGGGUUCUGAUUUCUCCACAUCCUUGCCACCACUUACUUGUCUUUUUGAUCUGUCUUUUUGAUUAUAGCCAGCCCAGUGGGUCUGGUUUUCCGUAAUAACUGAUAAAUGAUGUUGAGCAUCUUUGUAUAUACUUAUUGGCCAUUUGUGCUUAUGAACCAUAUUUUUGGAGAAAUGUCCAUUCAAAUCUUUUGCCCUUUUAAAAAAUAGGUUGUCUUAAGUUACUUUUACAUAUGGUGUGAGGUAGGGGUCCAAAUUCUUUUGCAUAUGGAUAUCUGGUUGUCCUGACACCAUUUGUUGAAAAAAGUGUUCUUUCCCCAUUGACUUGUUGUGGUACUCUUGUUAAGAUGAAUUGACCCAAUAUAUGGGGUUUAUUUCUGGACUUUCAAUUCUAUUUCAUUGAGUUAUUUGUCAUGAGUGUUUUUGAUUACAUGUUUUGGUUACUAAGUCACUACUUAGUAACUUUAUUCAGCAUUAAAUUUAGUGUAUUUUUUUAAAAAAAUAAAUCUUUAUGGUAGCUACCUGUUAAAUAUGAAGUCUAAGUUGAAGACUAAUAUUUAAUAUGGUUUAGGUUAAUUUGAGUCCUAAGAUUUUGAUUAUAAAACGAAAUUGAUCAUAUUGCUUUGUUCAGAGGGUAUUGGACCAAGGUGUUAAGUCCCUGGGUCCCUGCCUUUGAUUAUCACAGCACCUUUUUAGCUAAAAGAGGGAACCUGACCCUGACUCAGAUCCAGCAGAUUAUCUUUGAUUUUCUGUUAAUAAGACCACUUAGUGUUUGGUGGCAUGGAAUACAGGAGUUAGGUUAAUUUAAAAAUUAGAUUCUCUUUGUGUGUUUGCUUUUUAUCAUCCCAUUGUACAUUAGUGCAUUUAAUCAUGGAUUAUGCAUGAUGUAUGGGAUUUUUGGGUUUUGAAUCAUUAGAUUUCAUUAGAGGCUCUUCUUUUCCUUUGUAAUGGGUUUUUUUGGCUUCUCAAGGAAUGAUAAGUGAUUUCAUUUCUAGUAACUGUAAGAAAACCAAAAGUUGAUAAUAGUUAAGUAAGAGUUGUGGUAAGAAGGUGAUUUCUGAAUCUUGUGAAUAUAUGGCAUUAGGAGUGGAUUCAAGUAUUUUAAAUAAUAAUAACCAACUAUAGGAAAUGAAAGCACCGCAUAGAUCAUACAUGUAACUACAAGUUAAAUUGUUGAUUUUUAGAAGAUUUGUUCAGUUAAACUUAUGUUCAAGUUAAGUGAAUGAAAAUGGCCUAAUACUAUUUUUCUCCUUAAUCACACAGGGAACCAGGAUUACCAGGAGAAAGCCUUCCUGUGGUGCUCAGCUGUGGUCCCUUUUCAACGUUCACCCUUGACGUUCUCUUCACUGUGGGAUGAGGUAGUAGGUUGUAUAGUUUUAGGGUCACACCCACCACUGGGAGAUAACUAUACAAUCUACUGUCUUUCCUAACGUGAUAGAAAAAUCUGCAUCCCAGCAGCCUCAUAGAAAGCUAAUAUAACUAGUUGUACAAUAUUUAGGAUUAACUUGUGUAAACCUGCUGUAGUGCAGCAUUUCUUUAUGGUGUGCAAGUUGCUUAUUCUUUUAGAGAGAAAAAACUUUAGCAAGUAGACUGGAUGGGGGUGCGGAUACUUUUUACUUCACAUUUCCGUAUGUCAGAAUAAGUGUAUAUUUUAUUUUGAUUGAUACUGUUGAUUUUGUGUUGUGUUUCCUUUUGAAAUAGAUGUGCUCUCCGUUCCAGAAGAAAAGAUUGCUCUGUCGGAGUGAGGUAGUAGAUUGUAUAGUUGUGGGGUAGUGAUUUUACCCUGUUCAGGAGAUAACUAUACAAUCUAUUGCCUUCCCUGAGGAGUGGACUUGCUGCAUUUUGUUUUUAUCUAGAUAGUAUUAAAACUCAGAAGAAUUAAUUUUGACAUUGUUUUGUAUUUACAGUUUGUUUACGCUAAGUGCUAAUUUUCUCUGUUCAAGUAUAGUGUACCUGUAAUAGACACAGUGAUCUAAGUUUUUAAUUUUCACAUAUGGUAUAUGUCAGAAAUCUGAAAUUAAGCAGAAAUCUCCAAGAGUGAAGAAGGUGAUCUUCAGGAAAUCUUAAUGGGGACUGGGCCCUUUUGGAAUUGUGAGUUGGUUUACUGCACUGCCUGCUGCUGCCUGUGUCCGGGGUGAGACCUGGGCGGUAAAGGUAAAUGCAACUGAAAAGACCCUGAGCUAAAACGGCGUCAGGGUGAUUGUGGUUCACGGCCCAGUUUGGGUUUGGGGUGGCCUUGGGCAGUGUGUAACCGCUUCUUCAUUGGUGUGUUGUUUUGGACGGCUUCACUCUCCAGCCUGGAAAAGGAGAGAUGGGCUCUGCGUUCUACCUAUGCUCCCUCGGAUGUCACGAAGACCUCACCUUUGCCCCAAAACCUGAAGUGGUCCUUCAUUCACAAAGGGGCAUCCCCUGAAGCUGACAGAUGGGGAAAUCCAUAGUUUAUUGUUUUAAAGAAAAUAUGAGGAUGAUGCUAGAAAGGCUUACUGGAGUUUUAACACCCAUGAUGGCCCAUGUCUCAGCUUUCUUCCAGUGGCCAAAUCACAUGCUGCCUGGCUCUUAUAAUCAAGCAAGGCGAAAAGCUCCCUGUUUUAAGUGCUUGCAGUUUAUUUUAUUUUGGGAGAAGAAAAAAGGCAAAAUGUGGAGGUGAAGGAGAGGUGACCUCUUCCCAAAUAUUUCCAUUGAUCAUGAAUCUUAAUAUCUAAGAUAACCACAGUGUAUGCUAUUGGCAGUAGGAACUUGGCGUGAGAGAAACAUCAAAUUCUCUCUUGGAUGGGCCCAACCCAGAUGAGUUAUCCUGGGUCAGAUUUUUGCCUUGUUUUAUCCCUGGCAUACAAAUGGACACUUACGUGAUCCAGAAUUGGUCUGUCUUAUAAACUGGACAUGUAAAUAUUGGGGGAAAUAAUCAUUUUUACAUUCAUUGCCUUUUGGUGUGCCAAAGAAAAGUGGGAAUGUUUGAGAAAUUCUUUGGCUUAAUCUUUGUUAAACCGACAAGUUAGAUGACUCUCCUCUUCAUUGUGUGGCCAGUACAGUCGUGGAGUUUUGUGGUUUCCCAAUAUUUCCCUACAUUUUGUAAAAAACACUUGAGUACCUUUAUGUGGAGAAUGUGACAGUCUCUAAAAGCUUGUUUUUGAUGGCAACAUCAAAAAUUGUGGUACCAAUUUGCUUCCAUUUAUUCAUUCAAAGGUCAAAAACUUAAAUACUUGGGUCCAAGAGGAGCUGGCUGUAACUAGGAAACAUCUACAGGGCACAGGCAGUAAGUUAAUUUGUACCAGUUGAUGGUGGCAAGCAGGAUAUUUAUACAUAGUGUCACCUAAUUUUCCAGUUUAUCAAGAGGGAGAUUUUAUGAAAUUUGAUAUUUAAAUUUUCGUGCAAAGUUUAAUGUUUUAAAAAGUCUGUGACUCCAACAGUGUAUCAUGGGCUGGGUAUUAGGCUUCUGGUUUGCAUCCUCUGACAUAAUUGAAUUACUUACUGUUCCUUUGUAACGAGGUUUGAUUUUAAGCAAAUGAAGUUGUGGUUUUUAACCAAGGUCUUAUGGCCAGGAACUUUUUAAAAGCAUCAGUGAAAGAAUUCCAUUUGGUUUGAAUUUGAAAUAAAACCCAAAGAAUAUGGCCUAAUUUAACAGGUUAAUUUGAAGUGCAUCUGCCAAGUAGAAGACCGGCAAGAAAAAAAAUGGGUUCCUAGGAAGAGGUAGUAGGUUGCAUAGUUUUAGGGCAGGGAUUUUGCCCACAAGGAGAUAACUAUACGACCUGCUGCCUUUCUUAGGGCCUGAUUAUUCCACGGUCACCUGUUUCCUUGCUGCCUUGCUUUGGUGUAAGCAGAGUUCCUUCUGCAGGUUUUCUCAUAAAUGAAAACAUUGCAGGAAUACCAAAGGAAGCAAUACUUGCAUUCGUGGUUUAUGAACAGCAGCAUGGUACCAGCGUUGAUUACUAAGUCAUCCGAUGAGAAUUUAAGGCUUCUGAAGUGUACCUAGUUGCUUAUGUGUCUCACUGAGGGUUGCUGGGAGUUUUGGAGAGUAUUGUUUUUUAUUUUUGUCAAGUUCCUUUUUCUGAUCUGGAGACUGCCAGCUCUUUUCCCCUCAGUAGCCUCUGUUAGACCUGAAAGAUGUUUAACAAUACUAUUGAAAUAUUUUGCUGUACAAAAAUAUUUUCCUACACUGUAUUUGUAAAUAUUUAUCUUGCUAAGUUUCUGGGUUUCUUUGUCUUCUGGACUUGAAAUGUGGGUCAGUUCUGGUGGAAUUGCAUAUUGUGGGAAUCCAUCAUUGCAUUGAGCGCCCAUUAUGGUAUGUAACCCUGUGGUUGAAUCUGUUUAAUGUGUAUGAGGCCUAGAAGGUCAACAAAAUGAAAAUGGUUGUAAGGUAGUGGAGUUACUAUAAUUUGCUAACCAUCUUUGCAAUAAAAAUACUACUUGAAAAUUGUGCUUCUUAAAUCAUUCUUAACUUUCAUCUCCAUCCUUGCAGAACUAGGUACAUUUUUUAAGUAUUUAGACUUGUUUUAAGAUCUGUUAAAGUACUCACUUUGAUUUUUUAUUAGCAGUAAUUUGCUGAUUGUACUGUCAUUCACAGAUGUAUAUUCAUGAAGCUAACUCCAGCCGUAUCCCACUCUUACAUUUUGUAAACGCUUGUGUCUUUGUACACACAAUUACAUCUGCUCAGGACACACUGCUUUCUUAAAGUAAUUCUCAUUCUUAGUCUGCUCAGGCAGACACUACCUUACAAAAACUUUCCAUUAUCUCUCCUCAGUUCCCCAGUCUGGUGCAAACAUUUGUCACAGUAAGAAUGGUGCUGAGCCUGGGAUGUGUGCAUUAGCAUUAAUUCUUUUCAAACUAUUUUGAACAGUAAUAUAUUUAAAAGACUUAGGUGAAAUGGUUGAAAGGGGAUUCAGUACAGCUUCCUAUCUUGUUCCCUCUCCUUAGAGGAUGUUCCAGUGGGAGGAAGGUCAGGAGGUGCAAUCUAGGCAUGUCCUGCUCCUCUGCCACGUGGGGCUUUAAGUUUCCUCUGUAAGUUGAGAUAGUUGGUUAUGGCUUCUAAGGCACCUUUCGCAUUGUGCAGCCCUUUAAAAUCAGAGUUUAAAGAUUUCGAUUCAUGAGUAGCAGAACUAUAUCAGUUUCAUGUACUGUACACAGAUUUGAGUGGAAAUGCAUAGGAAAAGAACAAGGAAUUGAAAGUGAUACUGGCUAUAGUAGGAUUAGGGAUGAUUUUUUAAAUCAGUAUUGCAAAUUUUCUAUAGUUUUGCUUGUAGAAGUAUUCUAAAUCUCUAACAUCUUCCUUAUUAAAGUAUUUGGACCUCACUACUUGGCCCUCAUUUUUUCCCCAUUUCAUUCAACUAACUUUCCAGAUUGUUCUUUAUGUUUCCUAGUUUGCCUUCCACUUUUGGGGAGGGGAGGGGAGGAGAGCUGAGGAGCCCUCUGGGAAUUGGACGUAAUGCCUUCAGCAGUGUUUGCUGAUUGAUUGGCCCGCCUGAAGGAAGCAUCUGCUGUGUUCUGACUCCUUGGGAAUCUGAAAUCUUGCUUAUUGCUUGAAACCCAUAAUUUAGAAUUUUAGUUUAACUUAAAGGCAUUUUUCCUUAAGAGAGCCUGAUGUAAUUUCAUUGAACUGCUGUUAUCAGAAGAAGAAGAGCGGGUUAGAUGAACUAGUGUUUUAAAUAAUGGAGGCUGCCCAGUGCUGGUAUGCAAGCAUGACCAGUGUCCUAGAUCCUUUAUACCUUUUUUUUUUCUUUGCUGAGGAAGAUUAGCCUUGAGCUAACAUCUUUGCCAGUCUUCCUCCACUUAUUAUAUGUGGGUUGCUGCCACAGCGUGGCCAACAGGUGGUGUAGGUCUGUGCCCAAGAUCCAAACCCACAAACUUAGGCUGCUGAAGGGAGCACGCAAACUUAACAACUACGCCACAGGGCCAGCCCUCUUUUUAGCUUCUCCGCCAUCUGUAGCACACCCUUUCCAUUCUCAAGGUCACGUUUUUGUCACAACAUGUCUGCUAUUAACUGGCCGUCACCCUUUUUCCAGACACAAAGAUGUAAGGGGAAGGGCAGGCGCAUUUCAGCCAUCAAAUCUGGUUGAAGUGUUUUCUCAGCAGCGUCUCCUAGUGACUCCUUUUCCACUCACCAGUUGGUGCUGUCGCCCUGCUGUGGCUGCAAGGAAGAUUGGGAAGUGGCUUACCAGGCCAAUUGCCAGGCUGAGUAGAAUUGGUUCCACUAGUAGGGAGAUGGGAGAAAGCGAAGCAAAGGGUAUUAGGAUAAAACUUGGCAUGAGGAAGACCAGUGGGCUCUGUUCCGUCCCUGCCAUUACCACUUGUGCAGCCUCAGUUGGGCAGGCCUUCCCAGCCCUCUGGGCAUGGUGAGGAAUUCUCAGCUGACUGGAGGGGUUCAGUCAGAAGGGCUGCAUGGGGCUUUUCCAUCUGAGCAGAGAGCACGUUAGGAGGCCAAUGUGCACCCUGCGAUGUGUAUUACCUCUAGCACAGAGACCCGUACAGGACUGGAACUAAACACAUCUAUUUCUCAAAUUAACAAACUAUUUAGAGCAGUUUUUGGUUCAUGGCAAAAUUAAGCAAAAGGCACAGUACACGUACACCUUGUCGCCACCCCCGCAAACUUCCCCAGUAUUGACAUCCUAACCACUGAUAUGUUUUUGGUUUGAGGGGGGUGGUUUGUGAGGAAGAUUGGCCCUGAGCUAACAUCCGUUGCCCAUCCUCUUUUUUUUUUUUUUUGCUUGAGGAAGAUUGUUGCUGAGCUAACGUCUAUGCCAGUCUUCCUCUACUUUGUCCGUGGGAUGCCUCCACAGUGUGGCUGAAGAGUGGAGUAGGUCCACACCUGGGAUACGAACCCACGAACCUCGGCCACCAAAGCGGGCCAUGGAACUUCAACCACUUGGCCAUGGGGAUGGCCCCACUGACCACAGUGAGCUGCUGCAGCCAUCUUGUGACCAUGAGAGGGACAGAGCGAGGUCACUGCCAGCCUGGAGUUCUGACAACAUUGAGCUGUUGAGCCAUUGCCAGCAUUUGCCCACCUCCACACUUCAAAUUAUGUGAGAAAAAGGAACUACCUCACAGUGUGUGGGUGUGCUGUUACUUGCAGAGGACAGCUCCCCUCACAGGAUCCUUCCUAUCUCAGGGAAGGCUAAGGAGAGGUCUUAAGUGUGCUCAAGUGAGGGACGAGUGAAGGUGCUGAGGCCAUCAGGUAGGAAGGAGCCUCUUGGCUGGGAGAAGGGUGAUAGAGACUGGAUCUCUGGCAUCUGGAGGCCACGGCAGGACCUGAACAUGAGCACAGCAUGUAGUGGGGAAAGGCUGACGCCAAAGACUAUGUUUCAGAAACCUGGGUCUUAGAAGCAGCAGCCAGCAAGGACCACGCCCGGACAGCAUGUGGACCAGACACCGCUCCCUUGUGCUGAGAUGUUAGCCCUUUGGAAACGUCACCCUCAGGGAGGAAAUGGCGCCGGGGGAGGACCUUGAAUUUGAUAGACUACUAAAACAUAAUUACCUUAAAUGGAUGACAUUUCAGUUUCCUGCAAUUAGUAGUAAUGGAGGCUCAAGAUAGAAAUAAAAAUUUUAAAGUUACAUUUUUGUGCUCCUGACUGGUAAUUGCAAAUUUUGAACUCCUACAGUUAACAAAACUGACUAUUCAUAAGUAGAGAGCUGCUUUGAUGAUAUGCAAUGAAAUCUGAUAGAGAAACAGAUUUUUUAAAGCAAACUAUACAGCUUAUUUCUCACAGGUAAUACAGAUUAAGUUUCUUGCACCAUCUCGUAAACCUAGGUAUAUUAUCCAGAGUACUUGAUAUGAGCUUGUUUCACAUGACAGGCUUGCAAGAAAUGCAACGUGUGUGUGUGCGGGCGCACAUAUACAUAUAUAUCCAGUCCUUGCUUUGCGUGGUGCCUUGUUAACAGAAACUCACGCACAUAAGAAUCAUGUCCUUUGCUUUGCCUGACAGAACCACGCUAAGUGAGAACAAGGUCCCUGUAUGAAUGAGUUUGUGUUAACACAGUACUGUGCAAAGUGAGAUCUACCUGCAUAUAUAUGGGCCCUUUGCUGCUUUAAAUAUGUCCAGCUCACUUCCCUGUCUUGCUUCCUGUUAGUCUGGGACCCAUUGGUCAUAAAUCGUCACUGGGAGAUAACCCCUCUUAACUUCGAGAUUGUAUCAUCCAGCCCAUUGGCAGCUGCUUAGGAAGCUAAAUACUAAAUCCUGAGGUGUGAUGUUUCAGCCAAGUCUGAAAGUGGAGGAGUGACUGAGCAUAGGUUGAGCACUGACCAAAAUGAGAAAGAAGGUGGUUGAGAAAGUCUAAAAAGAUGCACAAGGCUUGAGGUCCAAUACGUUGGUCUAAUGCUCCCAAGAUUAUAAAUAAACUUUUCUUAAAUAAUCUUAUGAUGGUUAUUUUAAUAUCUUGGGUACCCAAAUAUAGGGACUGGGGAGACAGGGUAUGGUGAAUGGCAGAGCAGAGGAUGUCUGAAUAGUGGGAAAAUAUAUUCCAAUUACUGAAAAAACUUCAUUGGCCUAGUGAUUAAGUUUGGCACACACUGCUUCGGCAGCCUGGGUUUGGUUCCCAGGCGCAGAUCUACACCACUCAUCUGUCAGCAACCAUGCUGUGGUGGUGGCUCACAUACAAAAAUGAAAAGAGGAAGAUUGGCAACGGUUGUUAACUCAGGGUGAAUGUUCCUCAGCAAAAACAAAAGAAAAAGAAAAAAAAUAAUAUCUGCUUGAUUGAUAAUUCUUUUGUGAUUGGGAGGAGGGUGACCUAGUCCCUAACAGAAUCAUGCAAUAGGUAGUCCUUUGAAUGUGGCUUUUAUUUAACAUAUUUUAAAGGUUCAUUCGUAUUGUAAACGUAUAUGAGUAGUUUCUCCUUUUUCAUUGCUGAAUAAUAUUUUGUUGUGUGGAUAUGUAACAUUUUGUUUAUCCUUUCACUGAUUGAUGGGCAUUUGGAGUUUUUGUAGAGUUGGCUCUUAAACAUUUGUGUACAAAUCUUUCUGUGGACAUUUGUUUUCAUUUCUCCAGGAGGAAUACUGAGGAGUGGAAUUGCUGGGUCAUAUAGUAAGUUUAUGUUUAACCUUCUAAGGAACUGCCAAGCUCGUUUCCAAAGUGGUUCUACUAUUUUACAUUCCCAGUGGUGAUAUAUGACGGUUCUAGUUUCUUUACAUCCUCACCAACACUUCAUAAUUUCUUUCUUCUUGAUUGUAGCCAUUCUGAUGGGUGUUUAGUCAUGGCUCAUUGUAGUUAUAAUUUGCGUUUCCAAAAUGAUUAAUGAUGUUAAACAUCUUUUCAUGGCUUAUUAGCCAUUUUUGUGUCAUCUUUGUUAAUAUGUUCACUUGCAUCUUUUAACCAUUACUUCAUUGGCUUAUCUUCUUAUAAUUGAGUUGUGAGGAUUCUUUAUAUAUUCUAGGUGCAAAUCCUUGGUCAGAUAUAUGCUUUCAAAUAUCUUUUCCCAGUCUGUUGCUUUUCAUUUUCUUAGUCGUGUCUUUUGAAGCACCAAAGGUUUUAAUUUUGAUCAAGUCCAAUUUAUUAGUUUUUCCUUUUAAGGACCAUGUCUUUGGUCUCAUGUAUAAGAACUCUUGGCCUUACCCAGGAUCAUGAAGAUUUUCUCCUAUGCUUUCUUCUAGGAGUUUUAUUGUAGCUCUUACAUUUAGGUCUAUGGUACAUUUUGAGUUAAAUUUUUGUGUAUAGUAUGAGGUAAUUAUCUUUUUGCUUAUGGAUAUCCAAUUGUUUCAGCACCGUUUAUUGAGAAGACUACCCUUUUCCAGUUGAAAUGGCCUGGCACCUUAAUUGAAUAUCAAUUUACCACACAUAUGAGGCUUUAUCCUUUUAUAAAAAUUUUUUUUACAGCUUUAUUGAGGUAUGAUUGACAAAAACUUAUAUAUAUUUAAGUUAUACAGUGUAGUGUUUUUUUCCCCCCUACUUCCAAGCAUAAUCUUGUUUUUCAGUUAUUUUAUUGAGGUCAUAAUGGUUUAUAACAUUGUGUAAUUUCAAGUGUACAUUAUUUAUCAGUUUCUGUAUAGACUGCAUUGUACCCACUACCAAGAGUCUAAUUUUCAUCCAUCACCAUAUAUAUGUGCCCCUUUAUCCCUUUCACCCACACCCCACCCCCUUCCUCUCUGGUUACCACUAAUCUGUUCUCUUUAUCCAUGUGUCUGUCUUCCACAUAUGAGUGCAAUCAUGAGAUGUUGGUCUUUCUCUGUCUGGCUUAUUUCACUUAACAUAAUACUCUCAAGGUCCAUCCAUGUUGUUGCAAAUGAGAUGAUUUUGUCCCUUUUUUUUUUUUUUUUGGUGAGGAAGAUUGGCCCUGAGCUACGAUCUGUUGCCAAUCAUCCUCUUUUUGCUUAAGGAAGAUUGUCACUGAGCUAACAUCUGUGCCAGUCUUCCUCUGUUUCUAUGUGGGACACUGCCAUAGCAUGCUUGAUGAGUGCUGUGUAGGUCCAUGCUCAGGAUCCAAACCUGUGAACUCCAGGCCACUGAAGUGGAACACACGAACUUAACCACUACAAAACUGGGC
Molecule: long non-coding RNA, 16823 nt
Organism: Equus caballus (horse)
Lineage: Eukaryota; Metazoa; Chordata; Mammalia; Perissodactyla; Equidae
Source: Ensembl